GACGAACGCUGGCGGCGUGCUUAACACAUGCAAGUCGAACGGAAAGGCCCUGCUUUUGUGGGGUGCUCGAGUGGCGAACGGGUGAGUAACACGUGAGUAACCUGCCCUUGACUUUGGGAUAACUUCAGGAAACUGGGGCUAAUACCGGAUAGGAGCUCCUGCUGCAUGGUGGGGGUUGGAAAGUUUCGGCGGUUGGGGAUGGACUCGCGGCUUAUCAGCUUGUUGGUGGGGUAGUGGCUUACCAAGGCUUUGACGGGUAGCCGGCCUGAGAGGGUGACCGGCCACAUUGGGACUGAGAUACGGCCCAGACUCCUACGGGAGGCAGCAGUGGGGAAUAUUGCACAAUGGGCGGAAGCAUGAUGCAGCAACGCCGCGUGCGGGAUGACGGCCUUCGGGUUGUAAACCGCUUUCGACUGUGACGAAGAGUGAGUGACGGUAAUGGGUAAAGAAGCACCGGCUAACUACGUG
RNAcentral lists this ribosomal RNA (468 nucleotides) under uncultured bacterium. RNAcentral describes it as "partial 16S ribosomal RNA". It matches the Rfam family "Bacterial small subunit ribosomal RNA", at positions 28 to 507 of the family's 1533-position model. The record is from RNAcentral.